UUAACUCAAAUUUGUAUGGAGUUGAAACGUUUGCCUACGUUUACCACUAGGGGCGCUAGGGGCGCAGUUCCAAUUGCAUACAAAUUUGAGUUA
Non-coding RNA from Bombyx mori (domestic silkworm), 93 nucleotides. Lineage: Eukaryota; Metazoa; Arthropoda; Insecta; Lepidoptera; Bombycidae. The record is from Rfam.